Molecule: ribosomal RNA, 459 nt
Filed under: uncultured bacterium
Lineage: Bacteria
Description: partial 16S ribosomal RNA
Rfam family: Bacterial small subunit ribosomal RNA
Source: RNAcentral
CCUACGGGAGGCAGCAGUGAGGAAUAUUGGUCAAUGGUCGGAAGACUGAACCAGCCAAGCCGCGUGAGGGAUGAAGGUACAGAGUAUCGUAGACCUCUUUUGUCAGGGAACAAAAGCCGGGACUUGUCCCCGCCUGAGGGUACCUGAAGAAAAAGCAUCGGCUAACUCCGUGCCAGCAGCCGCGGUAAUACGGAGGAUGCGAGCGUUAUCCGGAUUUAUUGGGUUAAAAGGGUGCGCAGGCGGGCUGUUAAGUCGGCGGUGAAAGCGCGGGGUUCAACCCCGCCCCGCCGUGGAAACUGGGAGUCUCGAGUGGGAGCGAGGGAUGCGGAAUGCGCGGUGUAGCGGUGAAAUGCAUAGAUAGCGCGCAGAACCCCGAUUGCGAAGGCAGCAUGCCGUCUCGACACUGACGCUGAGGCACGAAAGCGCGGGGAUCGAACAGGAUUAGAUACCCUUGUAGUC